GGUUAAGUGAAUAAGGGCGCACGGUGGAUGCCUUGGCACUAGGAGCCGAUGAAGGACGGGACUAACACCGAUAUGCUUUGGGGAGCUGUACGUAAGCUAUGAUCCAGAGAUUUCCGAAUGGGGGAACCCAGCAUCUUUAAUAGGAUGUUACGAUUGUGUGAAUACAUAGCACAUUCGAGGUAGACGCAGAGAACUGAAACAUCUAAGUACCUGCAGGAAGAGAAAGAAAAUUCGAUUCCCUGAGUAGCGGCGAGCGAAACGGGAAAAGCCCAAACCAACAAGCUUGCUUGUUGGGGUUGUAGGACUCCAAUAUGGUCGUUCUUUCAGAUAGUCGAAUGACUUGGAAAAGUCAGUCAAAGAGGGUAAAAACCCCGUAGACGAAAUGUGGAAGACACCUAGGAGGAUCCUGAGUACGGCGGAACACGAGAAAUUCCGU
This 436-nucleotide ribosomal RNA is filed under the name Enterococcus faecium. RNAcentral's name for it is "partial 23S ribosomal RNA". It matches the Rfam family "Bacterial large subunit ribosomal RNA", at positions 1 to 437 of the family's 2925-position model. Lineage: Bacteria; Bacillati; Bacillota; Bacilli; Lactobacillales; Enterococcaceae. The record is from RNAcentral.